GGACCCAUAGCUCAGCGGUAGAGCAUCUGAUUCCAGUCCAAUUACCUGAUCAGGGUAAAUGACAACUGCCUCCAGAAGGUCAUCCGUUCAAAUCGGGUUGGGUUCA
This 106-nucleotide transfer RNA is filed under the name Nemania serpens. RNAcentral describes it as "tRNA-Trp". It matches the Rfam family "tRNA". Rfam says of the family: Transfer RNA (tRNA) molecules are approximately 80 nucleotides in length. Their secondary structure includes four short double-helical elements and three loops (D, anti-codon, and T loops). Lineage: Eukaryota; Fungi; Ascomycota; Sordariomycetes; Xylariales; Xylariaceae. The record is from RNAcentral.